This 70-nucleotide transfer RNA is filed under the name Diaphorina citri (Asian citrus psyllid). It matches the Rfam family "tRNA". From Rfam's summary of the family: Transfer RNA (tRNA) molecules are approximately 80 nucleotides in length. Their secondary structure includes four short double-helical elements and three loops (D, anti-codon, and T loops). The record is from Rfam by way of RNAcentral. Lineage: Eukaryota; Metazoa; Arthropoda; Insecta; Hemiptera; Psyllidae.
GCCUAGUUAGCUUAGUUGGUAGUGCGUCUGCCUUGUAAGCGCUAGGCCGCGGGUUCGAUUCCCGCUGGCA